UGCUUUAGCUUCAAAUCGGACGCUUAAACCCCUCUGCAUUUACAGCAACCACUUUCAGCGCGUUCGAUUCCAUCCCGCCGAGUUCUAAUGGCUGCCCCCAACAAUGCGCCGACGGUUUUGGACAAGGAACAGGUGGGUUUUCGAAAGACCUUAAUUUGGUUUUAAACAAUUGUGCAAAUUUUUGGUAUGGCAGAGAAGGAGAUGGAAUACAGGUUGAGUUGUUCAACAAGCUCACCGUGGAAUGUCCUCGACCCAAGAGGUAAAAAUGAUCUUCUCCUCAUGGAAAGUACUCUGAUGUAAGUUCUUUUUCCAAAAUUUCAACUUUCAGUUUCGGGAUUGAUUCUUGAUUUCAAACUUUUAUUUGAUUUUUCUGCCUGAAUGCCGGAGAUGAGAUUUGUGGUAAUUCUCUGAAGUUGUUGAAACCCCUAACAAUCACGUUGAUGUGAAAAUGUGGUAGGAAAUUGCAUAGCCUGAUUCCUUGUUUAUUCUUUUGUGGCUUUCUAGCUUGUCACUAGAGUCAUAAGAUUUGGUUUAAUUGGUAGAGCAAUAUUGUAUGCAAUAUUUCCAGGACCAGAGAUGAGUUAUUUCGCAUCUCCCCAAUCUUUUGCAUUUCUUAAUGUUAUUUUCCUUUCCAUAACCUGUGUUUUGUUUGGGGUA
Molecule: small RNA, 657 nt
Filed under: Malus domestica (apple)
Lineage: Eukaryota; Viridiplantae; Streptophyta; Magnoliopsida; Rosales; Rosaceae
Description: sRNA MD11G0070700
Source: RNAcentral